UAAUCCGGACGAUCGAAACGUUUUCGCCAUUUACGUCUCGUACUACGUCAAAGUGAAACUGGUGGUCAGCAUGAUGGGAGGAGAAGUCAACCUGAAAUUGCCCUUCACCCUAAUGCAUACGUGUUCCGACACAGAUCAAACGGAAACCUUGAUGAAGGUUAUACGGCCUAGCAUGCAAUUGAAAUUGAAAUCGACUGCUCCGAUGCAAUGUCCGGACCCCGUUAAACCGGAAAAAGACGGCACGUGAGAUAAGGAGGAAAAAGUCAUAGUAGAAAUAAACAAAGAACCCAGAGGCGAACUUAAUGUGGAGCAAUGUGAAAUUCAACAAGAAAAAGACCAACCUAGAAAGCUUGGGAUCAAGCCUCAACUAGAAAUGUUCGAUGAAAUCAUGACUGUUAAUAGAGUUGAUACUUCUGAAGAAAUUACGAAACGGGAGGAAUGUGUCAACGGACUACCAAUGGAAGAAAAAGAAUGUAAACACAAGGGAUUCAGCCUACAGCGCGCAUGGUGUUGCUUGAGAAAGAGGAGUACUUCAUAACAUUAACGAAACUGUUAGUAAUUAAAUAUUAUUUAGGAUAUUAAAUAAACAUCAUAGCUGACUGCAGAACUUACAAGUGGGGUCUCUGGGUGGUAGCCUGCUAUCAAUACAGAUGAUCUGGUGAGAUAAAAUUAUUUAGAGAUUUAUAGUUUUUUUCAAGCAGUUAAUAUUGAUGUCAAUAAUUCAACAUCACCAUAUCUAUGUCUUCAGAAAAAAUUCAUCAUGAUCCCUAACCUAAACUCAUUGUUUGGAUCACACAGUCCGUUCAAUACAUUUUUUAACAGAAUAUGUCAACAUCAACUACAAUUGCUGAUAUUUCCUUCCGAAGAAUGUGAUUUAUUCAAGUCUCCAUGCUACACUAAAUAAGGAAAAUAGGUGGUAACUAUAACCACCAACAAGGUGUAAGUCUAACCCAUAAUUGAUAAGGAAUAAUUUUAUCACAUAUAUCACCAGAAAGUGUGCGAUGCAUGUUUCGCCAACUUAGUUAAUACUAUCAAGAUGCGACUCCAGUUGUUUAGGUGAAAGUGAAUCCCAACUUAUUUCUAAUUUAUAGUUCGAAUAGGCAAAAAUAUAUAACAUAUACUUCAUAUAUGGGACAGUGCUGUUCGAAUUUCUAACUGGUGGGCCGUGGUCGAAAGGAACCUGAAGUACCAAACAUUUGCUACUGCAGCAGACAUCAUCAAUGGUAUGUGCGGUAACUGCGAAGACGAAGGUUAUAUAUCGAAGUCUCAGAGACUGACUAGCUGACGAGCUACGUGUUCACUUGUAUUUAUAAUUUCCGUGGGGAUGGUGGGGGAGGUCCAUUACAGUGCAAAGAAUCGAACGUGCUCUACAUCCUAGAAAAAUAAAUACUCCAACUUGUGGUAUCCACAAUCUUUUUGCCUUGCAUAAACAAAGUCACGGAUCGCGUUGGAAAACUGUUUGAAAGUCACAACAUUAAGACGAUUUACAAGCCAACUAAUCAACUACGCACUACUAUCAGAUCGACUAAAGACACAAGAGGGGGCCUCUGUGUAGCUGCCGCCUCAAGCAACCGGAGAAAUCCGUAAUUGCAGAACAUGUAGAAACAGACCACGUAAUUAAUUACAAAAAAAAAAUCUGUCCUGUCUAAUCCAACGCAUUACUGCGCACGUCAUUAUAGGGCGAACAUUGAAAGCUAUUCAAUAUGCCAAAAAUUUCAACAGAAAACAAGAUGGUAUACGGAUCAACAAAACGUCGUUUGCAGUACUCAAGAAGGCUAGAAACGUGGACGAAUCAGAACAACCUAAUAAAAGUGCGGACCAAUCAGAACGACCCAACGAAAGUGCGGACCAAUCAGAAGAGAGCAUUUGCAUGGACAACCUGACAUCCCACCCUCCACCAUCGCACUCUCUUGUAUUGUAGAUACGAGUGAACACGUAGCUCACCAGUCAGUCGUCGCUGAGACUUCGAAGUAUGUCAACGCACAUACCACCGAUGAUGCUUGCCGCAGUAACGGCUUUAGAUUCCAUUCGAUCAUGGCCUACUAGCCCGGAUUGUUUUAAUUGAAAUAUAAAAUUUUGUAAAACCUUCAAAUCACCGAACCAAAAUUAUUCAGUCUAUCGUGUAAUUAUGAUUCUGUGUGAUUUUCAACUUAAUUUUUGACGUGAGAAAAAAUUUGUACCAUAUCUACUAACACGUAUUUAUUAAAUAAAUACACCCAUCUUGGAAUCAUGGACUCAAGGAAGUUGUGACAACUUAUGGAGCUGGGAAGUGGAAAAUAAUUUCUUGAUGAUUUAUUAUUUGAAUAUAAGAUAUAUAUAACGUCUAUUGCGAAAACUUUAGAAACUGGAAAAUACUCGCCAAAACUGAUAAAUAGAAUCAUUUGGUACCUUCGAGGUGGAGAAGAAAAUGGAAUUGAAUAAAUUCAACUUGUACUAUGUGAUGAUUAAUUUCAAAUAGUUGAUGGAUAAAUCAAAUAACUCGACAAUGAUCAAAAUGUCCAUACUGGGUAACACACUGAGUAUGAAGCAAUCCUUUUCGUAGUGAAACAUGCAGAAAGUACAAUUUGUGACUCUCCAUCUCAAUUGAUAUACUUAUGUUAGCGUAGUUCAUAUAAUAUCGAAUCAAUAUUUUUGUAGCACCAAUUCCAAUAAAGAUAUAUAACUUUGGGAACAUAUCAGAUAUAAAUGUAUGGUUCCAAUAUAUAUUUUAACAAUACGAAGCACCUUUAAUUUCUUAUUGUAAUGUAUAUCACCCGUUAAUGUACUGAUGUAUUCAAAUUUGAAGAUGACUGAAAUUUGUAUAUAGAAUAAAAAUCAUUUGUAAGUUGUGAGUACAUGAAAUCUAAAGAAAUUCCCUAGAUUUUAUGCCUAGUAGUAUGAAUACAGUAAGUCUAGAAUAGAAAUUAACCUAAGGCCUUUGUAAAUACUUUUGUAAUAUGUCUAUUAUUCGCUUAAUUAUAUAAAUGAAAAGAAAAUACGA
Leptinotarsa decemlineata (Colorado potato beetle) is the source of this 2980-nucleotide long non-coding RNA. The record is from RefSeq and is a predicted model, not a curated record. NCBI's taxonomy places the organism in Eukaryota, Metazoa, Arthropoda, Insecta, Coleoptera, Chrysomelidae.